UGAAAAGAGACUCGUUGAAGAGAGGAUUAGGAAUAUUGAGGACCGUUUCUUAUCAGCAUGUAAAUUACGGCCAGUCGUCGGUAAUUUUCUUAUUUCAAUUUCGACCUUCAGGAUGAGAUAGCUGUGGUCAAAGGCAUUUUAAAUAAUGUGGAAGCUCUCGCCCGAGAUUUGUAUGUCCAUCACAAAGAAACAGAAAUGUGAUUGAGGGACGGUGCGAGCCAAAGGUGUCUCUAGAAUAAGUGUGAGCUUUGGCAAGUGAAGUGCCUUAUUUGCAGCUGCAGUGGGAGACGGAGCUGGGGAUUGAAGCACAAGCCUUGUGAUUUACAGUUGGUAAUCUGCCACUGCCGCACUAACACUCCACAAAAAUGAACAUUAAAGGAGCAUGUCCAGUGAUUUCAAGAAAUACAGAGAAAUUUUGCAGAUCCUUUGGAUGAAAUUAGAUUCUGGGUUGGAUUCACUUAACCCAAUAAACAGAAGGUCACAGUAAGCAUUUUGUUACAGAAUCUUCAGUCGCUGCCUACACACCAAGCUUAAAAAGUGAAUGCUUUACGACGACUCCAGCUGGCUUAUACGUGGUAAAAAACAAAUUGAAGACUGCAGAGACUUCUUCAUUGGCAUCAUGAGGUGUGAACAGAAGAUAAAUAUUCGAUGGAGAAUACACAUGACAGCCUGCUUGGAGGGACGGGAGGUGCCUGUGAUCACAAGGACAGCUGACAGGAUUUUCAUCUUGAGCUCCGCAACUGUGCAAGCAGUAAAAUGUUUAGAUCGACAUUUGAAUGGUGAAAGCUCUGUUUGAAGAUGCAAGACUGCUACUCCUUCUGUAUUUUGAUAGGAAUCGGAGGAAACAUUUUUUUGAGAGACACUUUUGAAAGCAGUUGUUUUUGAAUUUAAUUAAUGAGAAAAGCAGUUUGUAUCUUCCUUCCAUUUUUUGAGAUUUAGAUUGAUGUGCAGAACUGAGAGGAAGAUGAAAGGGUCAAGCAGGCCUGUCACUUUAUAAGAAACUCAUUAAAUAUGUGGAAAUAACAAGCAAGUAACUCAGUUAGCCAUAGCUGAUGAGGAGUUUAAUAUCUGAACACCAAAGUGCAUGAAUCAGGCUUCAUCUGGAAUAAUAAUGUGGGGAAAAUAAACGUCGGUGACUAAAUA
Polypterus senegalus (gray bichir) is the source of this 1143-nucleotide long non-coding RNA. RefSeq lists it as uncharacterized. The transcript is spliced from 3 exons. Lineage: Eukaryota; Metazoa; Chordata; Cladistia; Polypteriformes; Polypteridae. The record is from RefSeq and is a predicted model, not a curated record.